AGGGGUGUAAAGAUAAAUGAAAAUCGCUCGGCCUCCAAAGUCGUAGUACACAGGUUUGAUUCCUGUCGCCCCUGCCA
This 77-nucleotide transfer RNA is filed under the name Paenibacillus thiaminolyticus. RNAcentral's name for it is "tRNA-Trp". It matches the Rfam family "tRNA". Rfam says of the family: Transfer RNA (tRNA) molecules are approximately 80 nucleotides in length. Lineage: Bacteria; Bacillati; Bacillota; Bacilli; Caryophanales; Paenibacillaceae. The record is from RNAcentral.